UUUCAAUGAGAUUUCCGAAAUCAAGAAAAAUGAUUUUGAUGAUGAUGUUAAUUUUGAUUCUUUGAAUUUAAAUGAAACCCCUUCUCCAACUAGCAACUUGGAUGCAUCCACUUCCGAAACAUCCUUACCCAAGAAUUGAAAGUAUGUAGAUGCUCAUCCUAAGGAGCUAAUCCUAGGAGACACAUCUAAGGGGGUUCAAACACGUUCUUCUCUUAAAAAAUUUUGUGCCAACGUCGCUUUUCUCUCCCAAAUUGAACCUAAAUGUAUUGACAAAGCCAUG
Molecule: long non-coding RNA, 280 nt
Filed under: Musa acuminata (dwarf banana)
Lineage: Eukaryota; Viridiplantae; Streptophyta; Magnoliopsida; Zingiberales; Musaceae
Description: long non-coding RNA (MACU_LNC011281)
Source: RNAcentral